UACGGGGGGAGCAAGCGUUGUUCGGAUUUACUGGGCGUAAAGGGCGCGUAGGCGGCCGCCUAAGUCAGACGUGAAAUCCCUCGGCUCAACCGGGGAACUGCGUCUGAUACUGGGUGGCUUGAAUCCGGGAGAGGAAUGCGGAAUUCCAGGUGUAGAGGUGAAAUUCGUAGAUAUCGGGAGGAACACCAGUGGCGAAGGCGGCGACCUGGGCUGAUACUGACGCUGAGGUGCGAAAGCGUGGGGAGCAAACAGG
This 253-nucleotide ribosomal RNA is filed under the name uncultured bacterium. RNAcentral describes it as "partial 16S ribosomal RNA". It matches the Rfam family "Bacterial small subunit ribosomal RNA", at positions 524 to 776 of the family's 1533-position model. The record is from RNAcentral.